Molecule: unclassified non-coding RNA, 245 nt
Filed under: plant metagenome
Description: partial contains small subunit ribosomal RNA, internal transcribed spacer 1, and 5.8S ribosomal RNA
Rfam family: Eukaryotic small subunit ribosomal RNA (bases 1-54)
Source: RNAcentral
GGAAGUAAAAGACGUAACAAGGUUUCCGUAGGUGAACCUGCGGAAGGAUCAUUAAAGAGAAUAUGCCCUUCGGGGUAGAUCUCCCACCCUUUGUUUAUAUUACCUUUGUUGCUUUGGCAGGCCCGUCUUCGGACCACCGGCUUCGGCUGGUCAGUGCUUGCCAGAGGACCCAAAACUCUUAUUAUUAAUGUCGUCUGAGUACUAUAUAAUAGUUAAAACUUUCAACAACGGAUCUCUUGGUUCUG